GACGAACGCUGGCGGCGUGCUUAACACAUGCAAGUCGAACGGAAAGGCCUUUUCGGAGGCACUCGAGUGGCGAACGGGUGAGUAACACAUGGGUGAUCUGCCCUGCACUCUGGGAUAAGCCUGGGAAACUGGGUCUAAUACCGGAUAGGACCGCACUUUAGUGUGUGUGGUGGCAAGUUUUUUCGGUGUAGGAUGAGCCCGCGGCCUAUCAGCUUGUUGGUGGGGUAAUGGCCUACCAAGGCGGCGACGGGUAGCCGGACUGAGAGGUUGGUCGGCCACAUUGGGACUGAGAUACGGCCCAGACUCCUACGGGAGGCAGCAGUGGGGAAUAUUGCACAAUGGGCGCAAGCCUGAUGCAGCGACGCCGCGUGGGGGAUGACGGCCUUCGGGUUGUAAACUCCUUUCGCCAGGGACGAAGCGUUUUGUGACGGUACCUGGAGAAGAAGCACCGGCUAACUACGUG
Molecule: ribosomal RNA, 463 nt
Filed under: uncultured bacterium
Lineage: Bacteria
Description: partial 16S ribosomal RNA
Rfam family: Bacterial small subunit ribosomal RNA
Source: RNAcentral